Molecule: RNA transcript, 14619 nt
Organism: Gadus macrocephalus (Pacific cod)
Lineage: Eukaryota; Metazoa; Chordata; Actinopteri; Gadiformes; Gadidae
Gene: ank3a
Gene name: ankyrin 3a
Exons: 45
Source: RefSeq, a predicted model, not a curated record
UGGUUGUUCUGUGUAAUCCAGAAAGGAAAUACUGCCCUGCACAUCGCCUCCCUGGCAGGCCAGACGGAAGUGGUCAAAGAGCUGGUCACUAAUGGAGCCAAUGUCAACGCACAGUCACAGAAUGGCUUCACACCACUCUACAUGGCAGCCCAGGAGAACCACCUCGAGGUGGUCCGCUUCCUCCUGGAGAACAGCGCCAGUCAGAGCAUCGCCACCGAGGAUGGCUUCACCCCCCUCGCGGUGGCCCUCCAGCAGGGCCACGACCAGGUGGUCUCCCUGCUGCUGGAGAACGAUACGAAGGGCAAGGUGCGUCUGCCUGCCCUGCACAUCGCCGCCCGCAAGGACGACACCAAGGCCGCCGCCCUGCUGCUGCAGAACGACCACAACGCCGAUGUGGAGUCCAAGAUGGUGGUGAAUAGAACAACAGAGAGUGGAUUCACACCGCUCCACAUUGCUGCUCACUAUGGCAACAUCAACGUCGCUACCCUUUUGCUGAACCGAGGGGCUGCUGUGGACUUCAUGGCCAGGAAUGACAUCACUCCUCUCCAUGUGGCGUCUAAAAGAGGCAACAGCAACAUGGUGAAACUACUGCUGGACAGAGGCUCCAUAAUAGACGCCAAAACCAAGGACGGUCUGACUCCUCUCCACUGCGGGGCGAGGAGCGGUCAUGAGCAGGUGGUGGAGAUCCUCCUGGACCGUGGGGCGCCCUUCCUGUCCAAGACCAAGAACGGCCUCUCCCCGCUCCACAUGGCCACGCAGGGCGACCACCUCAACUGCGUGCAGCUGCUGCUGCAGCACGAGGUGCCGGUGGACGACGUGACCAACGACUACCUGACGGCGCUGCACGUGGCCGCCCACUGCGGCCACUACAAGGUGGCCAAGCUCAUCGUGGACAAGAAGGCCAACCCCAACGCCAAGGCCCUGAACGGGUUCACUCCACUUCACAUCGCCUGCAAGAAGAACAGAGUCAAGGUGAUGGAGCUGCUUCUCAAACACGGGGCCUCCAUCCAGGCUGUGACGGAGUCUGGCCUGACGCCCAUCCAUGUGGCGGCCUUCAUGGGCCACGAGAACAUCGUCAACUCCCUCACUCAUCACGGAGCCUCGCCCAACACCACCAACGUGCGGGGAGAGACAGCCCUCCACAUGGCGGCCCGGGCCGGCCAGGCGGACGUGGUUCGGUACCUGUUGCAGAACGGAGCCAAGGUGGAGACCAAGGCCAAGGAUGACCAGACCGCGCUGCACAUCUCCAGUCGUCUGGGCAAGGCAGACAUUGUUCAGCAGCUGCUGCAGCACGGGGCCACCGCCAACGCGGCCACCACCUCGGGCUACACCCCCCUGCACCUGGCCGCCCGCGAGGGCCACCAGGACGUGGCCGGCCUGCUGCUGGAGAGCGGAGCCUCCCUCUCCUCCUCCACCAAGAAAGGGUUCAGUCCCCUUCACGUGGCCGCAAAGUACGGCAAGAUGGAGGUGGCCAACCUUCUGCUGCAGAAGAGGGCGGCGCCGGAUGCUGCCGGGAAGAGUGGUCUAACUCCACUGCAUGUUGCGGCUCACUACGAUAAUCAGAGAGUGGCUCUGCUUCUUCUGGAUCAGGGAGCAUCUCCGCACGCUGCCGCAAAGAAUGGCUACACGCCGCUCCACAUCGCCGCCAAGAAGAACCAGAUGGACAUCGGGACCACGCUGCUGGAGUAUGGCGCCGACACCAACGCCGUGACGCGGCAGGGCAUCAGCCCGGUGCACCUCGCGGCUCAGGAGGGCAGCGUGGACCUGGUCUCCCUGCUGCUCGCCAAGAACGCCAACGUCAACAUGUGCAACAAGAGUGGUCUUACUCCACUUCACUUGGCGGCUCAGGAAGACAAGGUCAACGUUGCAGAAGUCCUUCUGAACUCGGGAGCUGACGUCAAUCCUCAAACUAAGAUGGGUUACACUCCAUUGCACGUGGCUUGUCACUACGGUAACGUGAAGAUGGCGCAAUUCCUGUUACAGAACCAUUCGCGGGUCAAUGGGAAAACCAAGAAUGGAUACACUCCCCUCCACCAAGCGGCCCAGCAAGGCCACACCCACAUCAUCAACCUGCUGCUUCAGCACGGAGCGUCUGCCAAUGAGCUCACACUGAAUGGUAACACUGCCCUGUCUGUCGCCCGUCGCCUUGGGUACAUCUCAGUGGUGGACACCCUGAGACCACUGACCGACGAAAACCUGACCACUGUGACCGCAACAGAAAAACAUAAAAGCAAUGUUCCUGAGACCAUGAACGAGUUCCUGGAUAUGUCAGACGACGAAGGUGAGGAUGCAAUGACUGGGGACACGGACAAGUACCUGCGGCCCCAGGACCUGAAAGAGCUGGGGGAUGAUUCUCUGCCCCAGGAGGGCUACAUGGGCUUCAGUAUAGGAGCGCGCUCGGCCAGCCCUAGGAUCAGUUCGGAUAGGUCCAACACUCUAAACCGGAGCUCCUACGCCCGGGACAGCAUGAUGAUCGAGGAGAUCCUGGCCCCCACCAAGGACACGCUUCAGAGCGGCUGUAAAGAGAUUUCCUACUUGGUUGACCCUCUAAAUAAGCAUUUGGCCGUGACCAGGGACUACAGCACAGAGUGCAUGCGUCGGUACAGCUGGACCCCAGAUACCAUGGACCACAGCCAACACAACACCGUGUCCAGCCCCAUCCACUCUGGCUUGUCCUCCCCGCUCCCCCAGUAUGACUCCAGGUUCCUGGUCAGCUUCAUGGUGGACGCCCGCGGCGGCUCCAUGCGGGGCAGCCGCCACAACGGAAUGCGCAUCAUCAUCCCUCCCAGGAAGUGCACGGCGCCCACGCGCAUCACCUGCCGCCUGGCCAAGAGGCACAAGCUGGCCUACCCCCCGCCCAUGGUGGAGGGAGAGGGCCUGGUCAGCAGGCUGGUGGAGGUGGGCCCGGCCGGGGCCCAGUUCCUAGGCCCUGUGAUCGUGGAGAUCCCUCACUUCGGCUCCAUGCGCGGUAAGGAGAGGGAGCUCAUCGUGUUGCGGAGUGACAACGGGGACACGUGGAAGGAGCACCAGUCGGACGCACGGACGGAAGACCUCCUGGAGCUGCUCAACGGCAUGGACGAAGAGCUGGACAGCCCCAUCGAGCUGGAGAAGAAGCGCAUCUGCCGCAUCGUCACCAUGGACUUCCCGCAGUACUUUGCGGUGGUGUCCCGGAUCAAGCAGGAGUCCAACCACAUGGGCCCCGACGGAGGCACGCUGCUCAGCUCCACCGUGCCCAUGGUCCAGGCCUCCUUCCCCCAGGGGGCGCUCACCAAGAAGAUCCGCGUGGGCCUGCAGGCCCAGCCGGUGCCAGACGACAUGGUGAGGGCCAUCCUCGGGAACAGGGCCACCUUCAGCCCCAUCGUCACCGUGGAGCCCAGGAGAAGGAAGUUCCACAAGCCGAUCACCAUGACGAUCCCGGUGCCCCCGCGGCCAGCGGAGGGCCACCCCACCGGUCACCGGGGCGACGCCGCGCGCUGCCUGCGCCUGCUCUGCAGCAUCACAGGAGGGACGUCCCCUGCCCAAUGGGAGGACAUCACCGGCACGACGCCGCUGUCCUUCGUCACCGACUGUGUCUCCUUCACCACGAACGUGUCGGCCAGGUUCUGGCUCGCAGACUGUCACCAGAUUCCUGAGACGGUGGGCUUAGCGUCUCAGUUAUACCGGGAGCUGAUCUGCGUGCCGUACCUGGCCAAGUUUGUGGUGUUCGCCAAGAUGAACGACCCCGUGGAGUCGCGGCUGCGCUGCUUCUGCAUGACGGACGACAAGGUGGACAAGACCCUGGAGCAGCAGGAGAACUUUGAGGAAGUGGCCCGGAGCAAGGACAUCGAGGUUCUAGAGGGCAAGCCCAUCUUUGCCGAUUGCUAUGGCAACCUCUCUCCGUUGACCAAGAGUGGGCAUCAGUUGGUCUUCAACUUCUACUCUUUCAAGGAGAACCGACUUCCCUUCAACGUUAAGAUCAGAGACAUCGGCCAGGAGCCGUGUGGCCGGCUGUCGUUCCUGAACGAGCCCAAGAGCACCAAGGGUGUUCCCCAGACUUCCAUAUGCAAUUUGAAUAUCACACUGCCAACCCACAGAAAGGAUAUGGAGUCUGAUCCCGAUGAUGAGACUGAAAAGCCAGACCGACGUCAUUCCUUUGCCUCCUUAGCUUUGCGUAAGCGAUACAGCUAUCUGACCGACCCUGCAGCGAAAACAACUGAUCGAAGCACGCCGAGAACACAGCCUUCUAGCUACCCUUACAAACCUGUCUUUUCAACGAGAUCUUAUCAGGCGUGGUCGGCUGUUCCUGUCGCCGUCCCUAACCAAGCCAAGACUGGGUUUGGCUCCCUCUCCAGUUCAUCUUCCAACACGCCCAAUGCCUCACCACUGAAAUCUGUCUGGUCCAUCACCUCUGCCUCCCCCAUCAAGACAAACAUCCCUGGAUCACCAGCCUCUUCUGUCAAGUCAGCUAGUGACAUGGCCUCCCCCAUUCGUUCCUAUAGAACAAUUUCUUCUCCAAUAAAGACUGUUGUGCAACAGACCCAAUACCAAGUACCAGUCUCCUCGAAUCUACUGGCCUCCCCAGGAAAAAGUGCCCCAGACCCUGUAUCUGUGAAAGGAUUGGCAGCAAUGUCUGCAAGGACCUCCCCCAUAACCACUGGAGGAGGAAGUUCUCCUAUGGAUAGGUCAUGCUUAGCUAUGACACCCCCAGGCUCUCCAAAGUCCUCCUAUAACAUGUACAGUCCGUCCCUGCCGUACAAUUCUGUGAUGGGCUCUGGUGUCUCAGUAUCAUCCUCGUCUCCUAUUAAAACAGUUCCUGGACUUUCCUCUGGUCGGUCCCCCGCAGAUCCAUCAGCUCCUUCACGAAGCAUGUUCUCCUGUCUCUCCUCACCACUUAAAAAUAAUAACCCUCCUAGUGCAGCAUCUUUGAUCAACGGAACAGUGUCCCCUAAUCACCAUUAUCGUUCCUCAUCCCCUACCUCUCAUCUCGCCAGCAGUCUUCAGGAGAGGAUACAAGCAACAACCAAUGCUGCAACAACAAGCGUCAAUGCAGCCUUUGAUGAGGUGGAAAAGACAUUUAACUCUUGCUCGGCCGGCUAUGGUACAUUGAAGUCCAUGUCCUCCUCUGCAUCGUCCUCAUAUCAGUCAAUUCGGUCCUCAAGUUCCCUGUAUGCUUCGCUAAGAUCCCCUCCUACCUCGACCAAUGCUGUAACAUCCAGCACCAUGACUGUGCCAGUAUAUUCAGUCAUAAACGUGCUGCCGGAGCCCCAGUUUAAGAAGCUCCCUGAGGUUUCAAGGUCAGCCGCCGCCCUACUCUCGCCUCGUAAAGCAGGCUCUGCUGAGGGGAGUAAUGCUCAAGCGCAGUCAACCUUCACCAAAACUCUUUCACCUGCAAAGUCCUCUCUUGGUAUACCACCAGCCGCCCUCAAGUCAACAGCCUCGUCAGCACUAUCUUCUAGCCAAGAGAUUCUGAAGGAUGUAGCUGAAAUGAAAGAGGAUUUGAUACGGAUGUCAGCCAUCUUGCAAACAGAGCCUACUUCCAAAGCAAGUAAAGGAUUUCAAACGAAUUCUCCAAAGGCGGCUAAGGUAGAGGAUGAGGAGCCAUAUAGGAUAGUAGAGAAAGUAAAGGAAGAUUUGGUCAAAGUUAGUGAGAUCUUGACAAAAGAUACAGUCAAAGAUGGUAGGCCAAGGACAUCCUUGGAUGAGAUGCAAUAUGCAAAGGUACCUGUUGAGCAACCGGCAAGCAACUGGAGCUAUCCCCCGAGAUAUGAGACUGUAGUACCUCAAAUCAAAACAAAGACUGUAGUAGACAGGGAUUUCAAUCUAGCAAAAGUGGUUGACUACCUAGCUCAUGAUGUUGGCGGCAAUUCUUUCUCAAAAACACCAGAAUCAAAGCGUAAAGGAGAUGAGAGAAAGAGGGAAGGCGAGGAGAAGCAGAAACGUGUCCUGAAACCUGCCAUGGCGGUUCAGGAGCACAAACUGAAAAUGCCUCCAUCAAAUAUGCGCUCCUCUGCUUCAGACAAAGAGCUCAGCAAGCUUGCAGAUGUGCUUUUUGGAGCUGACACAAUUCUGGAAUCUCCUGAAGAUAUGUUACAUGAACAAGACAAAAGUCCACUCUCAGACAGCGGCUUUGAGACAAGGAGUGAAAGGACUCCCUCAGCACCUCCAAGUGCAGAGGGAAUGGGCCCUAAAGCCCUUUUUCAGGACAUUCCCAUUCCUCCAGUUAUCACAGAAACUAGAACUGAGGUUGUUCAUGUAAUCAGGAGUUAUGAGUCCCCAGAAGAUAAUAAUUCAUCUGCGAUGGAUGAUCCCCAUAAUGUCAGGUACAUUGAUUCUGAAGCCAAAGGGCAUUCAAAUAAAAACGCAUCAUCGCCAGAUCAGAGCAAGGCCUAUACAUUGAAAAUCAGCCCGGAGGAGGAUCCAAUGGGGAAAGGAAUGCGAGUGAAAGAGGAAACUCAUAUCACAACCACAACCAGGAUGGUAUACCAUAAACCUCCAGGCAAAGAGGUACCAUUAGAGAGAUGUGAGGAGACUAUGUCUGUUCAUGAAAUCAUGAAAGCAUUCCAGUCAGGUAGGGACCCCUCGAGAGAAAUUGCUGGACUUUUUGAGCAUAAAGCUGGUAAUGAGGAGGCUUCACAUAGAGUAUUGGAGGGCAUUAACUCUAAACCCAAGGUUGAAAGAAUUAUUGAAGUUCACAUCGAGAAAGGCAACAAUAAAACUGAACCCACUGAGGUCUUCAUCAGAGAGACUAAGAACCACCCAGAGAAAGAAAUGCACUUCUAUUCUGGAAACAGGCAGCAAGAUGAGGUUGAGGAAUCAAAUCCAGCCUAUUUUGAUUCCUCAAGAGUAAACACACCAAUGUCGCAGGAGGAAGACAGCCGCCCUAGUUCAGCACAGCUCAUCGCAGAUGACUCCUACAAAACCUUGAGGCUACUUAGCCAGCAGUCAGUAGAGUACAAUGAGGAUGAGUCUUCAGAGCUUAGAGGAGGGUCCUAUAACUUUGCAGAAAAAAUGCUCCUCUCUGAGAAACUUGACAAAUCUCAUUCUGACACAGAGGAAUACCUCAGAGAUAGGUCUCACUUUCACUCACCAGAUCGUACCAAUAAUUCAGAGGGUCGACCGAGUAGUCCAAGAACAGAAUAUGUCUUCAGGUCAUCGAGAAAUGUGUUUGACAAAUCGGGUAGAAUGGCUAAUGUUGAGGACAACUUUGACAAACUGACACUUUUGCAGUAUUCUUCUGAGCCUGGUAGCCCAAAGCACUCUGUUUGGAUGCGAGUGUCAGAUGACACAGAACAUAAAAACAGAGAGCAAAUCAUGUAUGAAGACAGAGUUGACAGGACUGUGAAAGAGGCAGAGGAAAAACUCAGUGAAGUGUCUCAAUUUUUCCGUGACAAAACAGAAAAGCUUAACGAUGAGCUUUCGUCUCCAGAAAAGAAGUCUCGUCGAUCAGACUUCAGGGAAACACGAUCCGGGCCUAGCUCCACACAUAGCAGUCCUGAGCGGUCAGGUUACAGGAAUGGAGGUAGUGGGGAAGAAUGGAGUAGAGAAAGGCUCAGAGAGAGAUUCAACUCCAGUGAUAGAAAAUGUGCCAGCUUACCCAGCAGCCCGGAGAGGAGAGUUCUUUUACAGUAUACUGAUUCCAACAAAAGGCAACAGGGAGAUGCAUCGUCACAGGGUAGCACAGGUGAUUCCCCCAAGCCUUUUCAAAUGUCAUCUUCCAAAGUUAGUGCGGUGAGGCUCAAGUUUGAACAAGAGGCCCAGAAGCAAGAACAGUCUCCUCAACGGGUACCAAAUUCAAAUCCUCCAAUUAGAAAGCUACAGGAAAGUAAGCUGCCUGUAUAUCAGGUUUUUACUGGUCCCAAUGUUCCUAAAGGUGCAGAUAGUCCAGGGAUCCAGAGAAAAGGACUCGCUGGUGAGCCCAACUCUCCCAAACAUGACUCUAGUGAUAAUGAACCAGAGAACAUAUUCAAAACAUGGGAGAAACGGGGAAAUGGGAACUUUCAACCCCAAUCACCAAAAUUAUCUAGUGCCAUGAUUCAUGAUGCCAUCAAAGAUGGAAAUAAUCAUGACUCACAUAUACAGGAGACCACCAAGAAAAUUAUCUACACAGAACUUGUAGUGCGGGACAACCCAAAUAGUAAUAGCGGUCUAAAAAAAAACUCGGAAUCACAAAUUCCUGCUAAAAUAUCCUCUGAAUUUUUAGAGAAUUGCCAAUCCACUGUUAAAUCAUGUACUUCUGUUGGGUCUCACAUACCUACUUUAGCUAGAAAUCGGUCGCAAAGUGGCUCUGAAACCAUUACAUCACCCAGUGGAUCGCCAGUCAGAAAAUCGACUGAUAUAUUUGAAGGUAGCCAGUCAAAUGUAGUGUGUAAUGGUGUUGAUAGUGACCAGAUUGAGUAUUUGGCUAAUGUUACUCCUGUUGUUGUCACAGAGAAAUUUAAAGAUAUUAAACCUUUACCAGUUUAUGUUAGCAUCCAGGUCGGAAAGCAAUACGAGAAAGAAACAGCAACAGCGCAGCUUAGUACAUACAAAAAGAUUGUAAGUCAUGAAAGUAGGACGGUGCAUGAGACUAGGGGGGCUUUUUACUCUGUCAAGCAAAAGCAGCCAUCAUCUCAAGGUAGUGAGGACACUAUAGAACAGGUAACAACCUAUGUGGUGGACAGCUCUGUUAAUAGUCCCAUCACCUUUGAGACCCCCAGCUCGGACGACUAUGUGAUGGCCGCUAUGACCGGUGUGCAAAGCCCAGUGCCAGAGGAAUCUGAAGAAGAGGAAGCACAGACCUUCAUCUACAAGGAGCCUCAUACGGAAAAGAGCAAGCCAUCGUCCUCUGAUACUGCCCUUAAAAAACAAGACGCCGCAAGACAAAAGUCAAAGUCAGAGAAGAGAUUAGCUUACAUUGAGUUUCCUCCUCCUCCUCCUAUAGAAGCAGGGCAGUCUGAGCCUCCAAAGAAAGGGUCUUGUGUCUCCUCCGAGGCAGAGACGGAGAUGAUGGAGGUGAAUCUCCAAGAAGAACAUGAUAGGCACCUCCUUGCCGAGCCUAUCAUCAGGGUCCAGCCUCCCUCGCCUGUUCCCCCUGGAGCUGAUGACAGUGACUCCAGCGAUGACGAGUCCGUGUUUCACCCAAUCCCCCUCAAAAAGUACACCUUCAAGAUGAAAGAGGAGGGAGACAAACUUCUUAAGCCCAAAAAGGCGGAGGAAAAUGGGAACAACAACGGUAAAGACGUCAACGGCGUUGUGAAAGGAGAGGAGCUUGACUUUGAGUCAAAUGGCAACGACCAGUCCAUCACUGACUGUUCUAUGGCCACCACUGCAGAGUUCUCCCAUGAUACUGAUGCCACCGAGAUAGACUCUUUAGAUGGGUAUGACCUUCAGGAUGAGGACGAUGGAUUGAGUGAGGAUCCCAAAACAUCUAGUCUAUCAAUGGACUGCAAAACGACCGACCGCUCUUUUUGUCAGUCCAAGCUUGAGGUCAUAGAGGAAGAGAAGUGCGAAGAAGGAGGGGAUAGUGGAAAAGCAAAGGCCAGCACGUCAGAGCAAGGUGAUGGCGAGGAGGUUGAUUACACCCUUGAGGGAAGACACCCAGACAGGCCGCACUUUGGAGAGAAUUACUUCGGCUACCAACUUGAAGAGGAACUGAACUCCACCUUUAAAACUGUCGCCACAAAAGGCCUUGACUUUGAUCCCUGGUCAACCAAAGGGAGUGACAGUGAUGGAGUGUUUGAUUCCAAAGCAAAAGAGGAAGACCCCAAGCCCUUUGGUUUAUCAGUGGAAGACAAGUCUCAGGCCACCACACCAGACACGACGCCAGCUCGAACUCCGACUGACGAGAGCACACCGACUAGCGAGCCAAACCCCUUUCCCUUCCACGAGGGGAAGAUGUUUGAGAUGACGCGCAGUGGUGCUAUUGACAUGAGCAAGCGGGACUUUGUUGAGGAGAGGCUACAGUUUUUCCAGAUUGGUGAGCAUUCCUCUGACCCUAAAACAGGGGAGAAGGGGAGAGGGGGCCCGAUCCUGGGGGUGGUUUCCUCUCAAUCCACAACAGGGGAGAGGGGCACAGUAGAGGGGAAGGUUAUAGACACUACCACAGACAGCAGCAACAUACCAACAACACCAGCAGCGACAGCCGCAAAAUGCAGCCCUGCACAGACCGCCAAUGGCACUAGCACCGGCUGUACCGGCACCGAUGCCCCCAGCGGUGAAGCCGUAGCCGAACCUCCCUCGUCUUGCACGAUUACAGCCUCUAAGGUCGAUUCCAAAUUGCGUACCCCCAUUAAAAUGGGCAUAGCGGCCUCCAUAACUGUGAAAAAAGACUCAGGGGAACUCCCCGAUGGUAAAGCUGCGGUGGCAGAGGGUCAACUAGUGCCAGAGUACAUCAGCAUAGAGGGUCACAGAGCCGAGGGCCAGCCUAGCGGAUACACCGAGGCCAAGGUAGAGAGACAGGAUUACCCUGCCGAGAACAGCAACAACAACAAUAAUUUAGAGUCCUCCAGUGUUCAAGCCAACUACAUUGAAUGUGGCAGUGUGGUGUUUAACUUGCAGUCUUCCUCUCAGCCCACCCUGCAAAAAGCCAGCAGGAUAGAAGCCCUAUGCUACUCAGAGACAGUGGAAAAGAGCAGUUGUAAUCAGACAGAGGAGACCAAGAGUCAAACAGUUAGGGAAAGCGAAGCCAAACAGCCAAAAUCUAGACUUCCGGUGAAGGCGUCAGGGUGGUCCUUCCACACACAGGGGACAGCCAUAGGAAAGCAGAAGCCAAAACAAGUGGUGAAGGCUGAGGUCAGGAAGAGAGCUGAGCCGGCGGUUGCCAAAGUAGAACCCAGGUCUAGGAUACCAAUCAAGGGUGUGAAGAAGAGCAGCGCUGCCUGCUCCCUCACGUCAGCUCAGGUCACCUCCCAGCCUACAAGGGUCUUAGCCACAGAGAGGGGAGCCAUACAGUUGCCCUCGAGACUGCCACUGAAGGACAAGAUCCAGGUCAACCGAGAGCAGACAGCGGGUAGACAGGACAGGCAGGAGAACCCUAGCGAGCUCUGUAAGCGCAGCAUUGAGUACUUUAAGGGCCUUAGCGGGGAGACCCAAAAGCUGAUGGACUGGCUGUCAGACGAGGAGAAAAAGACGCAGACAGAACAGUCGGAGCAAGACAGCACCUCCCGGAGCACCUCUCUGUCGGAUGCCUCCCAGCCUUCCCAGCCCUCCCAGCCCUCACGCUCAUCCAGGUCUGGUAGAGGUUCGAGGGCUGAGGCCGGGGCCGCGUCCGUUAGGGCAAAGGCGGCAGCGACGGACAGGGCCUCCGGCAGUGAGAGGAGCAGAAGGAGUAGGCGGACUGGUGGGAAGGAGGGCAGUCAGGGACUCACGGGGUCUCGAGCGCCCCCCGUCGCGGAGAUCAAGCCUAGUCCCCAAAGCCCCUGCGAGCGAACAGACCUGCGGAUGGCCAUCGUCGCUGAUCACCUGGGUCUCAGCUGGACAGAGUUGGCACGGGAGAUGAACUUCACUGUGGAUGAGAUCAACCACAUAAGACUAGAUAACCCCAACUCUCUGACAGCACAGAGCUUCAUGCUGCUAAAGAAAUGGGUCAGCCGGGAUGGGAAAAAUGCCACAACGGAUGCCUUAACUGCAGUGCUGACCAAAGUCAAUCGGAUGGAUAUUGUGACUUUACUGGAGGGCCCGAUAUUUGACUAUGGUAACAUUUCAGGCACAAGAUGUUUUGCCGAUGAUAACGCGGUUUUCCGGGAUCAGGCUGAUGAUUAUCAGAGUAUCCUAGCGGAGCUGCAGUCCCCCGCCACACUGCACUCCGACCCCCACUUCCUGGAUCCCGAAAUCCCUGUCACACCCAACCCCGCCCUCUCACCCCAUCCUCACCAUCACCAUCACUACCCGGCCCCCGACCCCCCCGCGCCGGGCCAGUGCCCGUCCCAGUCCCCGCCCCUGCCCUGGAGCCCCGAGGCGGGGCCCUUUAGCCGGGAGUCCGGAGAGAGUAGCCCCCCGAGGCCCAGCGAGCUCACGCUGUCCUUCCCGGUGUUUGUGCUCCCGGAGCCGCUCCCCCGAGCCGUCAGGAAGCCCCACAUCGCUCUGAACGACCGGCUGCUGCUGAGCGAGGAGGAGGAGGAGGACGGCGGCGGCUUUCAGGACACGCCCCUCGACCACCGGCCCAAGAUCAUCUGCUCCCCGGAGAGGAGCGACAUCGAGAUGGCCUUCUCCACGUCCUCCCCCUCGCUGUCCUCCAUGUCCUCCAUGACGUCCUCGUCUCCCGAGAAAGUAAAGAGGGCGGAGGGCGAAGGGCUGGUUGGCAUAGUGAUACGUCCAGCGUCCGUGUGGAGCCGCCGACGCCAGGCCGCAGCCUCAGCUCAGACCUUCUGGACAGACACGAACCCAGCCAAGAAAUCUCCAGCGACUCCAUCACUUCCUCAUCCAGAGGCGAAUCAGGGCGGUCCCGACACAACGGUGACAAAUCACAGCAUUCGCCCAAGGAAGGGACCCGAGAUCCAGCCAAUGGCAGGAGGACAGAUGGAACACCAGUGACGGAGAGAAAAGCCCAGCAGGCGGAGGGGACCAGGAAUGGCAGGAGAAAGGACGAGAAGAAGCUGAACUCGUAGUGAUGGUGGUCUUCUGUUAGGUGGGCAGAAAACCACGUGACAUGUUUCCCGAGAACAAGAGGGUGCUGGAGUGCUCCACUGGUUGAGCUUCUCCUCCUUCACUGGCUUUGAACAGAGCCAGAAGAAGCCUUGUUCCACUUCAGCAUGCAUAUGGGAAAACAUGCACUUCCUGUCAAUCAACAGACCUGGAGGUCCCUCCCUUUCCUGUCUGUGGAGCCGAGGAAGAUGGUUCUCCUUCCUUCUUUGUUCUACUCCGUACGUGCCAUUGGUCCAAUGGUGUGUUUUGGGGGCUUUUCUGGAGUGCUGUUUGAUUGUACCAACCGAAUAAAACGACAGACAGAAAUAUCACAACAACAACAACCACAACAACACUGGUGCAACCGAACUUGUACUUCCUUGUGUCCAAAUAUGGCACAAAAUGCUCCAGUGGUGGAAGAAAUGUAGGAAGUUUGUGAGACUAUCACGCAAAACAGAACACCUCUGACACUUCAACACUCGCCUUAUAGUUUUUUUCUUGGACCCAUUAUUAUCAGGAUGUAAAUUGUUUGGGUUGUUUUUUUUCCCCUUUCUUUUUAAAAACUGAACUUAGACGAUACUUUUUUCUGUACAUAAAUUUACAACGUGUAAAAUUCUUAAGAAAAAAAGGAUAAGCUACAGGUAGAGAAUGCACUGAGAUGAGCUAACUUUUCAAGUGCUUUCAAAAUUUAUUGAAAUGGUUCCACUUUUAAGGAAGAUUUGAGUGAAAUUUCCACAUGUUCUUGUACAAUUAAUUAUUAUAGCAGGUAUAAUGUUUGUAUAUGAAAGAAGCUGAUUCAAUUUUAACAGGAAAAUUUCCACACACAAAAAAAGCAAAUUUCAGUUAUUCCCGAUGUGGGAAUGGAUUAAAUCCUUUUAGAGUAUUCAUAUUUUCAUGCAUGCUGUUCACAUUAUUUUGAGUACAAUUUUUACAAGUUUGCAAACACUGUAUUCAAAAUUAAAUAUAAAUCCCUUUAUCCGUGUAGACAUAUAGCCCUAAAAUUUGUCACCAAUUUUAUAUUUUCGAUUUCAAAAUGAUACCAUUAAAUCAUUGGUCAUGUUUGGGGAUGAGUAAACCAUACAAAGAAAAAAUACGUUCUAUCGCUUCUUGAGGGUCUAAUGUCUUGUCUGUCUAUGUUAAACGGAAGGGCAGCUUCUGCUACAGGAAAGAAAUCAGCUGAAUGUAAAUGCUAGUAGGCUGGCUCGCUGUUAAAUUAUAACUGUGUUGUGUGUAUUGGCUAUAAGGUGUAGGAGUCUCUGUCCACUGUUAAACUGUCUGUGUAGCAGUGUGUUGAGUUUGGUUUUCAAAAGGCUGCUGUGGUAUUCAAUGAAAAACUGGGGCAUUUGAUUUUGGUAUUUCCUUUGUUACAAACCUACACACAUUAAGGACACAUAAAGGCAUUUUUUUGAUUGUAGCUGAAAGUUAGACUAUUGUAUGACAACACACUGGAUGGUCAAAGCAAUUAUUUAAGCAUUGAAUAAAUUGUGUUUAACUCUAAAACUGUGUGAUCCUUUUAGAUUUGAGCGUUUGUACAUGCAGUGACGAAUAGAAUUGUUUUCAAUAAGUCAUUGGCAAAUCUUACUUUGCAUUAGGUACUAUUUUUUGUAUUGGUUUUGAAUAGAUGCCCAUGUAGUUCAAGUGUGAUGUUCUACUGGUGUGUUGCCUCAGACUUUAGUGUGCAGAUGUUUAUGAUGCCGACAUGAACAACUAUGUUAAGGACUUUGAUUUUAUGCAAAUGAAGUUAAACUAGUUUGUCGUGUCAAAAUCCCCUUUUCCUGUUAUGUCAAUCAUGGGGGAGGGAAUCCUUUGAUAUGGUUUAACAAAUAACUGUCCAUUUUGUUUAAUAUGUGUUUUCACCAGAACAGAUUUUUCAAUGUACAAUUCUUACUAACACAGCCAUUGAAAUGUAACUACUUAGCACUUUGGGUUUUCAAUCUUCUUUUAGAGGCUAUAGCAGAUGGUUCCAACACAAAUGUUUUAGACAUCUUUAAAAAAACUAAAUUAAAACAAACAAAAUAAAAUGCAUUGUCUUUGAAAUCA